This 46-nucleotide non-coding RNA is filed under the name Alexandrium minutum. Lineage: Eukaryota; Dinophyceae; Gonyaulacales; Pyrocystaceae. The record is from RNAcentral.
UUUUUUUUUUUUUUUUUUUUUUUUUUUUUUUUUUUUUUUUUUUUGA